Molecule: transfer RNA, 78 nt
Filed under: Methanothermococcus okinawensis
Lineage: Archaea; Methanobacteriati; Methanobacteriota; Methanococci; Methanococcales; Methanococcaceae
Description: tRNA-Trp
Rfam family: tRNA
About the family: Transfer RNA (tRNA) molecules are approximately 80 nucleotides in length. Their secondary structure includes four short double-helical elements and three loops (D, anti-codon, and T loops).
Source: RNAcentral
GGGGAUAUGGUGUAGCCUGGCCUAUCAUCGGGGACUCCAAAUCCUCGGACCUGGGUUCAAAUCCCAGUAUCCCCACCA